RNAcentral lists this ribosomal RNA (429 nucleotides) under Gemmatimonadota bacterium. RNAcentral describes it as "Gemmatimonadetes bacterium partial 16S ribosomal RNA". It matches the Rfam family "Bacterial small subunit ribosomal RNA", at positions 355 to 776 of the family's 1533-position model. The record is from RNAcentral. Lineage: Bacteria; Pseudomonadati; Gemmatimonadota.
UUGGGAAUCUUCGGCAAUGGACGAAAGUCUGACCGAGCAACGCCGCGUGAGUGAAGAAGGUUUUCGGAUCGUAACACUCUGUUGUUAGAGAAGAACAAUGACGUUAGUAACUGAACGUCCCCUGACGGUAUCUAACCAGAAAGCCACGUCUACCUCCGUGCCAGCAGCCGCGGUAAUACGUAGGUGGCAAGCGUUGUCCGGAUUUAUUGGGCGUAAAGCGAGCGCAGGCGGUUUCUUAAGUCUGAUGUGAAAGCCCCCGGCUCAACCGGGGAGGGUCAUUGGAAACUGGGAGACUUGAGUGCAGAAGGGGAGAGUGGAAUUCCAUGUGUAGCGGUGAAAUGCGUAGAUAUAUGGAGGAACACCAGUGGCGAAGGCGGCUCUCUGGUCUGUAACUGACGCUGAGGCUCGAAAGCGUGGGGAGCAAACAGG